GUAAGAACGUAGCGAAAUGCGAUACUUGGUGUGAAUUGCAGAAUCCCGUGAACCAUCGAGUCUUUGAACGCAAGUUGCGCCCGAAGCCGUCAGGCCGAGGGCACGCCUGCCUGGGCGUCACACGCCGUUGCCCCCCCGCGCCCCGCACCCAACGCUUUGGGAGCGACCGCGGGGCGGGCUGAUGAUGGCCUCCCGUGCGCUCCGCCGCGCGGUUGGCCCAAAUACCGAGUCCCCGGCGACGUGCGCCACGACGAUCGGUGGUUGAGAGACCUCUGUCGCAAGUCGUGCGCGCCCGUCGCGUCACGCGGGCUCGCAUAGCGCCUCGCGCCGCACCCGGUGCGGAGCUUUCAACGCGACCCCAGGUCAGGCGGGGUUACCCGCUGAAUUUAAGCAUAUCAAUAAGCGGAGA
Molecule: unclassified non-coding RNA, 409 nt
Filed under: soil metagenome
Description: partial contains 5.8S ribosomal RNA, internal transcribed spacer 2, and large subunit ribosomal RNA
Rfam family: 5.8S ribosomal RNA (bases 3-120)
Source: RNAcentral